This 495-nucleotide ribosomal RNA is filed under the name uncultured bacterium. Its description in RNAcentral is "partial 16S ribosomal RNA". It matches the Rfam family "Bacterial small subunit ribosomal RNA", at positions 28 to 507 of the family's 1533-position model. The record is from RNAcentral.
GACGAACGCUGGCGGCGUGCCUAAUACAUGCAAGUAGAACGCUGAAGGAGGAGCUUGCUUCUCUGGAUGAGUUGCGAACGGGUGAGUAACGCGUAGGUAACCUGCCUGGUAGCGGGGGAUAACUAUUGGAAACGAUAGCUAAUACCGCAUAACAGUAGAUAUCGCAUGAUAUCUACUUGAAAGGUGCAAUUGCAUCACUACCAGAUGGACCUGCGUUGUAUUAGCUAGUUGGUGAGGUAACGGCUCACCAAGGCGACGAUACAUAGCCGACCUGAGAGGGUGAUCGGCCACACUGGGACUGAGACACGGCCCAGACUCCUACGGGAGGCAGCAGUAGGGAAUCUUCGGCAAUGGACGGAAGUCUGACCGAGCAACGCCGCGUGAGGGAAGAAGGGUUUCGGAUCGUAAAGCUCUGUUGUAAGAGAAGAACGAGUGUGAGAGUGGAAAGUUCACACUGUGACGGUAUCUUACCAGAAAGGGACGGCUAACUACGUG